RNAcentral lists this ribosomal RNA (253 nucleotides) under uncultured bacterium. RNAcentral describes it as "partial 16S ribosomal RNA". It matches the Rfam family "Bacterial small subunit ribosomal RNA", at positions 524 to 776 of the family's 1533-position model. The record is from RNAcentral.
UACGGGGGGGGUAAGCGUUGUUCGGAAUUACUGGGCGUAAAGGGCUCGUAGGCGGCCAACUAAGUCAGACGUGAAAUCCCUCAGCUUAACUGGGGAACUGCGUCUGAUACUGGAUGGCUAGAGGUUGGGAGAGGGAUGCGGAAUUCCAGGUGUAGCGGUGAAAUGCGUAGAUAUCUGGAGGAACACCGGUGGCGAAGGCGGCAUCCUGGACCAACACUGACACUGAGGAGCGAAAGCCAGGGGAGCAAACGGG